CAUAGAACGUUGAUGGGGAAAAGUACUGCUCUGACGGAUCCAGAGACGCGGUGGCUGGUGUGAAUCGCGACGGAUGAGUAGGAAAUCCACCCCGGAGUGAAAGUAAUGCUUUCCGGUACCGACCGUUAUCAGGCUUGAGAGGAAAUGUUUCACGUGAAACAUUUCAAAAAGGGUGGCAACACGAGGUAUCGUCCCUUAG
Molecule: non-coding RNA, 199 nt
Filed under: Bacillota bacterium
Lineage: Bacteria; Bacillati; Bacillota
Description: Firmicutes bacterium T-box sequence
Rfam family: T-box leader
About the family: Uncharged tRNA acts as the effector for transcription antitermination of genes in the T-box leader family. T-boxes are found upstream of many aminoacyl-tRNA synthetase genes and some amino acid biosynthetic genes usually in Gram-positive bacteria.
Source: RNAcentral